This 253-nucleotide ribosomal RNA is filed under the name uncultured prokaryote. RNAcentral describes it as "partial 16S ribosomal RNA". It matches the Rfam family "Bacterial small subunit ribosomal RNA", at positions 525 to 777 of the family's 1533-position model. The record is from RNAcentral.
ACAGAGGUCCCAAGCGUUGUUCGGAUUCACUGGGUUUAAAGGGUGCGUAGGUGGGCAGGUAAGUCAGUGAUGAAAUCUCCGGGCUUAACCCGGAAACUGCCGUUGAUACUAUUUGUCUUGAAUAUUGUGGAGGUAAGCGGAAUAUGUCAUGUAGCGGUGAAAUGCUUAGAUAUGACAUAGAACACCAAUUGCGAAGGCAGCUUACUACACAACGAUUGACGCUGAGGCACGAAAGCGUGGGGAUCAAACAGGA